GGUCGAUGAUGAUGAGGAAGAAGAUGGGAGGCAUCAUCUCUUCUUAAAGGCCAUUGGAAUCUGACCGACAUAACGCUUAGUUUAAAUCUAACCGUUAAAUUUAGAUCUUACGGUUCAGAUCUGUUGGGUGACGCUGACCGAUCUAGCUGCCCCGGAAAUCUGCCACGGAUGGCUCAGAUCUUCGUAGUUAUCCACGUGGAGUUAUUUUAGCCGUUUGUUCGUGAGGCGUCGUGUGUAUGUGUUAUUUUUGUAUUUUUUUAAUAAUUCCUACGAACUUUACAAAAAUUGAUGUGGAUUUUUAAAAUGAUUUUCCUUUUUUUGUGAGAGAGGCAAACUAGUCAUUUCUAUGUCUGAAUGGGUCCCACACUGACUUUUCAUUAUUUUUUGUUUUCUUUCGUUUCUUUAUUUUCGGAUUCGACUCUCUCAUUGGUCGCUUUUUAUUUUGCCAGGUCAGCGGUUGCCACGUGGAGACAGCUAGGAUCUCGGUUUCAUGAAUGCUCCUCGUAACUUUUGAAUCUUGCCCUUAAACUGGAUUACUCCUAGCUAAUUAAAGACUAAAUCAUAACUAAUUAAUUUGCUAUGAAAUAAGUAUAAAUUGCAAUGAGUUGACAAUUAAAUAUUCCGACCACAAACAAAACCCAAAAGAAAAAAAAACUCAUUUCUCAUCGCCGGGCGGUCACCGACUAGACGGCGGACGAAUUUAGGGCAACACCAGUUAGUCGGAAUGACGAAAAUACCCUUCUUGUUUAUGAACCCAACCAAACCCCCAAAUGGGCUUUUUCACUUUCAGAUCUCUGGGCUAGAGAACUGCUAAAAUAUUGAUUUCUCAUUUUUUUCUCAAAAAAAAACGAAUUUUGUUAUUUUCGAAAGGAAAAAAAAAUUGAGAGCGGUUAUUACCAGAAAAAGCAUGGUAUUGUGUGGAGCAGAACUUACAUCAUAAACUAAUCAGAAACUUUUAAUAAAUAAAUCUAGUUAAACUGGAAAAAAAGUGAAUGAAUUAAACAAAAUCUAAGUAAACUGAAUAAUUUCUCAGAAACAAAGAAGAAGACUAACAAAAGUAACAACAAAAGAGAAGAUAGAGAGGAGAAGAAAAGAAAGAGAAAGACAACUCAAGGCAAAAGAGUGAUCCAAACACACA
Arabidopsis thaliana (thale cress) is the source of this 1138-nucleotide long non-coding RNA. RefSeq annotates it as other RNA. NCBI's taxonomy places the organism in Eukaryota, Viridiplantae, Streptophyta, Magnoliopsida, Brassicales, Brassicaceae. The record is from RefSeq. The transcript has a single exon.